This 183-nucleotide ribosomal RNA is filed under the name Deirochelys reticularia. RNAcentral describes it as "partial 12S rRNA". The record is from RNAcentral. Lineage: Eukaryota; Metazoa; Chordata; Testudines; Emydidae.
CACCGCGGUUAGACAAGGAGCCCAAACUAACAGAUACCGGCGUAAAAUGUGAUUAAAACCCUAUAACCUACCAAAAUUAAGGUGAACUACCUGCUUAGCUGUUAUACGCCAAAGCACAAAUUAACACACUAUGAAAAUAACCUUAACACAACGGAACUAUUUGAACCCACGAUCGCUAAGACA